RNAcentral lists this ribosomal RNA (64 nucleotides) under Legionella pneumophila. The record is from RNAcentral. Lineage: Bacteria; Pseudomonadati; Pseudomonadota; Gammaproteobacteria; Legionellales; Legionellaceae.
CCUGAUACCAUCUCGAACUCAGAAGUGAAACAUUUCCGCGCCAAUGAUAGUGUGAGGCUUCCUC